UAGGGAAUCUUGCUCAAUGGGCGAAAGCCCGUAGCAGCGACGCCGCGUGCGGGGUGGAGGCCCUCGGGUUGUAAACCGCUUUCAGCAGGGACGAAAUUGAUGGUACCUCCAGAAGAAGGCCCGGCCAACUACGCGCCAGCAGCCGCGGUAAUACGUAGGGGCCUAGCGCCGUUCGGAUUUAUUGGGCGUAAAGAGCUCGUAGGCGGCUUGGUAAGUCAGGUGUCAAAUCUCCACGCUCAACGUAGAGGAGCCACCCGAAACGGCCAUGGCUUGGGUCCGGUAGGGGGGUGUGGAAUUCCCGGGGUAGCGGUGAAGUGCGCAGAUAACGGGAGGAACACCCGGCGCGAAGGCGGCACUCUGGGCCGAUACUGCCGCUGGGGAGCGAAAGCGUGGGGAGCAAACAGG
Molecule: ribosomal RNA, 405 nt
Filed under: Bacillota bacterium
Lineage: Bacteria; Bacillati; Bacillota
Description: Firmicutes bacterium partial 16S ribosomal RNA
Rfam family: Bacterial small subunit ribosomal RNA
Source: RNAcentral